RNAcentral lists this ribosomal RNA (616 nucleotides) under Savillea micropora. RNAcentral describes it as "SSU rRNA". It matches the Rfam family "Eukaryotic small subunit ribosomal RNA", at positions 634 to 1260 of the family's 1831-position model. Lineage: Eukaryota; Choanoflagellata; Acanthoecida; Acanthoecidae. The record is from RNAcentral.
UUGGAUUUCUGGUGAAGCUGGGGUGGUCCACCGCAAGGUGAGCACUGCUCUGGUUCGCCAUCCUCUCGGAGGCGGCUAGUGCCAUUAACUUGGUGCUUGUCGUGGCCGGGACCUUUACUUUGAAAAAAUUAGAGUGUUCAAAGCAGGCUUACGCUUGAAUACAUUAGCAUGGAAUAAUGGAAUAGGACUUUGGUUCUAUUUUGUUGGUUUCUAGGACCGAAGUAAUGAUUAAUAGGGACAGUUGGGGGCAUUAGUAUUUAAUUGUCAGAGGUGAAAUUCUUGGAUUUAUGAAAGACUAACUACUGCGAAAGCAUUUGCCAAGGAUGUUUUCAUUAAUCAAGAACGAAAGUUAGGGGAUCGAAGACGAUCAGAUACCGUCGUAGUCUUAACCAUAAACUAUGCCGACUCAGGAUCAUCGAGGUCAUUUUAGCCACGGUGGCACUGUAUGAGAAAUCAAAGUUUUUGGGUUCUGGGGGGAGUAUGGUCGCAAGGCUGAAACUUAAAGGAAUUGACGGAAGGGCACCACCAGGAGUGGAGCCUGCGGCUUAAUUUGACUCAACACGGGGAAACUCACCAGGUCCAGACAUAGUAAGGAUUGACAGAUUGAUAGCUCUUU